This 484-nucleotide ribosomal RNA is filed under the name uncultured bacterium. RNAcentral's name for it is "partial 16S ribosomal RNA". It matches the Rfam family "Bacterial small subunit ribosomal RNA", at positions 30 to 507 of the family's 1533-position model. The record is from RNAcentral.
ACUGAACGCUGGCGGCAGGCCUAACACAUGCAAGUCGAGCGGAUGAAGGGAGCUUGCUCCUGGAUUCAGCGGCGGACGGGUGAGUAAUGCCUAGGAAUCUGCCUGGUAGUGGGGGAUAACGUCCGGAAACGGGCGCUAAUACCGCAUACGUCCUGAGGGAGAAAGUGGGGGAUCUUCGGACCUCACGCUAUCAGAUGAGCCUAGGUCGGAUUAGCUAGUUGGUGGGGUAAAGGCCUACCAAGGCGACGAUCCGUAACUGGUCUGAGAGGAUGAUCAGUCACACUGGAACUGAGACACGGUCCAGACUCCUACGGGAGGCAGCAGUGGGGAAUAUUGGACAAUGGGCGAAAGCCUGAUCCAGCCAUGCCGCGUGUGUGAAGAAGGUCCUCGGAUUGUAAAGCACUUUAAGUUGGGAGGAAGGGCAGUAAGUUAAUACCUUGCUGUUUUGACGUUACCAACAGAAUAAGCACCGGCUAACUUCGUG